Molecule: ribosomal RNA, 254 nt
Filed under: uncultured bacterium
Lineage: Bacteria
Description: partial 16S ribosomal RNA
Rfam family: Bacterial small subunit ribosomal RNA
Source: RNAcentral
GACGAACCGUGCGAACGUUAUUCGGAAUCAUUGGGCUUAAAGGGCGCGUAGGCGGCGACGUAAGUUGGAAGUGAAAUCCCAUCGGCUCAACCGUGGAGUUGCUCCCAGUACUGCGUUGCUUGAGCGAGAUAGGGGCCUGUGGAACUGCCGGUGGAGCGGUGAAAUGUGUUGAUAUCGGCGGGAACGCCAGUGCCGAAAGGGACAGGCUGGACCUUUGCUGACGCUGAAGCGCGAAAGCUAGGGUAGCGAACGGG